AUGUUGCUUAAACAAUACAACCAUGACUUCAAUGAGCGAGCUGUAGAAGAGCAAGGAUUGUCAAGAGAGGAUAUUAGAUUCUUGGAGAUUGCUGAGAGUUCUGUCAAGCUUGAGGACAAUCAUUAUACCUUGAAGUUACCAUUUAAAAGGGAAAAUGUGUAUCUUCCUAACAACUUCUCUUUGGCAAAACAGCGGAUACUUGGAUUGAAGAGGAGAUUUCAGAGAGAUGAGCAGUUUUAUGAGGAGUAUGUAGCAUUCCUCAAAGAAAUGAUUAACAAAGGAUAUGCAGAGCAAUUGCCCACUCAGCAGCUGAAAGGAGACAGCGGCAAGGUGUGGUAUAUUCCUCACCAUGGUGUACGUCAUCCCAGGAAGAGGAACCUGCGGGUGGUUUUUGAUUGUGGUGCGGCAUUCAAAGGAACAUCAUUAAAUCAGGUCCUUCUGCAAGGUCCCAAUUUUACAAGUACAUUGAUUGGUGUUCUCCUAAGGUUUAGGCAGGAGUCGGUAGCUGUCAUGGGAGACAUACAGGCAAUGUUUCAUCAGGUUAGAGUGGCAGAAGAGGACCGGGAUUUCCUCCGUUUUUUGUGGUGGCAGAACGGAGAUUUUACAAAAGAAGUGUCAGUGUUUCGUAUGACUGUCCAUCUUUUUGGGGCUGUCUCCUCUCCAAGUUGCGCUGCCUUUGCGUUGCGAAAAACAGCAGAUGAUCAUCAAUGUGAAUUCCAUGAGGAGGUUGUUCAGACUCUCAAAGAUAACUUUUACGUAGAUGAUUGCCUUAAGAGUGUGGCAUCUGAAGAGGAAGCAGUUUCUUUGGUUCAAGAUCUUUCCAAUCUCUGUCAGCAAGGAGGUUUUACUCUGACAAAAUGGAUAAGCAACAAGCGCACUGUCUUGCAAACCCUUCCUGAGGAGUGUCGAGCCAAGGAGUGGAAAGAGCUGGAUCUGGACAAAGACAGCUUGCCUGUUGAGAGAGCUCUUGGUUUGUUGUGGUGUGCGGAAACUGACUCAUUUAAGUUCAAACUGGAGAUUCAGGAGAAGUCUUGCACAAGACGUGGAAUGUUGUCAGUGUCCAGUUCAGUAUACGAUCCAUUUGGGAUCUUGGGACCAGUAGUGUUACCUGCUAAGAUCAUGCUACAGGAGCUAUGCCGGAGGAACUUUGGAUGGGAUGAGACUGUGCCCUAUGAGAUAUUGUGUGGUUGGACACGGUGGUUGAAGGAACUUAAUGCACUCUCUGAAUUUAAGUUUGAGAGAUGCAUUAAGCCCAUGAGUUGGGGUUCCUACACACAUGCGCAGCUUCAUCAUUUUUCAGAUGCAAGCGAACAGGGAUAUGGUACAGUCACUUACCUUAGAAUCCAGAAUAGCAACAGUGACAUUCAUGUGUCCUUCCUCAUGGGCAAGGCUCGAGUAACACCUUUAAAGGCUAUCACUGUUCCCCGCUUGGAGCUAACUGCAGCUGUUCUUGCUGUCCGUGUUGAUCUGAUGCUAAAGAAAGAGCUGAGGCUCCAGUUGCAAGAAUCAGUCUUCUGGGCAGACAGCACAUCUGUACUCAAGUAUGUCAUGAAUGAGGACAAGCGGUUUCAUACUUUUGUUGCCAACAGAGUUUCCAUCAUCAGGGAAGCCACAGAGACAUCACAGUGGCGAUAUGUUGGCACAAAGGAGAAUCCAGCUGACGAUGCAUCCAGAGGAAGGAGGGCUGGAGAUUUUAUCAAGAACAACAGAUGGAUAGAAGGACCCAAGUUUCUGUACAAACCAGAAGAGGAUUGGCCUGUAAAUAUGGUGGACACUGUAGUAGGGGUUGAGGACCUAGAGGUCAAGAAGGAAGCCUUUGUCAAUGUGGUAAAUACUCAAGGCUCACUGAAGGGUACAAAUAGGUUGAUUGCUUACUUUUCAGAUUGGAGAAGACUUCGAGUAUCAGUUGCGUGGUUGCUUAAGUUGAAGAGGAUGUUGUUGAGAAGGAUUUGCAAGAGGAGAGAGUCCGAUACUACUGAAGCCAACAAACAGAAUGUCCUAGAGCAAGGGAAUCGGAUAGCUAAAGGUACAACAGGAGGACAAACCUUGUCGGCAGAGGAUCUUAUGGAAGCCGAGAUGGCUAUAAUUUGGUAUUGCCAACAGCAAAGAUUCUCUGAGGAAAUCGCUGCUUUGUCUUCUGGAAAAGAUACAGUAAGCAAACAGAGUGCCAUUUAUAAGUUGGAUCCAUGGUUGGAUAAUGGGCUUCUGAGAGUUGGAGGGCGGCUGACACGGGGUUCGUUGCCAGAAGACACAAAACAUCCGCUACUCCUCUGUAAAGAUCAGCAUGUGGCUACCCUUAUACUGAAAGAUUUACAUCAACAGCUUGGCCAUAGUGGGCGUAAUCACAUGUUGUCUGCUUUAAGAAGAAGGUAUUGGAUUACAGGAGCAACCUCAGCUGUGAGGAAGGUCGUAGCAGAAUGCUGCUUCUGUAAAAAAUAUAAUGGGAGGAUGAUGGGGCAGAAGAUGGCUGAUCUGCCUAAGGAGAGGAUUAUGCCAGACUAUCCGCCGUUUACCAACACAGGCGUUGACUAUUUUGGACCAAUAGAGGUGAAGAAGGGAAGAGGUACAGUGAAACGCUAUGGUGUCAUCUUCACCUGCUUGGCCAGUAGAGCCGUUCAUCUUGAACUUGCCAAUUCUCUUGACACAGAUGCCUGCAUUAAUGCUCUGCGCCGAUUUAUCAGUAGAAGAGGGCAAGUGGAGCAUCUUCUUUCAGAUAAUGGCACAAAUUUUAUAGGAGCAGAGAGGGAACUUCGGGAGGCACUUUUAUCAUUGAAUCAGGCUAAGAUUCAACGAGUGUUAUGUCAGAAGGGCAUUAAGUGGAGUUUCAACCCUCCAGCUGGAUCUCAUUAUGGUGGGGUUUGGGAGCGGGUCAUCCGCAUGUUGAGGAAGAUCCUCACUGCAGUAUUUCAACAGCAGACGCUUGAUGAUGACAGUUUCCAUACAGUCUUGUGUGAAGCGGAGGCAAUCUUGAAUGAUCGACCAAUCACCAAAUUGUCUGACGAUCCAAUGGAUCUUGAAGCUCUCACUCCCAAUCAUAUUCUGUUGUUAAAGGGAAAACCAUCCUUAUCUCCUGGAUUGUUCGAUGUUCAUGACUUAUACAUAAAAAGAAGGUGGAAACAGGUUCAGUACAUAUCAGACCUCUUUUGGAAGAGAUGGGUUAGGGAAUACCUACCGUUGUUGCAGGAAAGGCAGAAAUGGAACAAGAUUAAAAAUAGCCUCAGAUCUGGAGACAUUGUGGCCAUUAUGGAUCCAACGGCACCUCGAGGAUCCUGGCCACUUGGAAGAGUUUUGGAAACAUUCCCUGACAAGAAAGGGCUGGUGCGCUCUGUUCGCUUACAAACUAAGUCAAGUGUUAUUGAUAGGCCUGUAGCAAAACUUUGCUUUUUGCAUGAGUCUAUGGGUUAA
Long non-coding RNA from Carassius auratus (goldfish), 3405 nucleotides. The record is from Ensembl. NCBI's taxonomy places the organism in Eukaryota, Metazoa, Chordata, Actinopteri, Cypriniformes, Cyprinidae.